CCUACGGGCGGCAGCAGUGGGGAAUAUUGCACAAUGGGCGCAAGCCUGAUGCAGCCAUGCCGCGUGUGUGAAGAAGGCCUUCGGGUUGUAAAGCACUUUCAGCGGGGAGGAAGGCGUUAAGGUUAAUAACCUUGUCGAUUGACGUUACCCGCAGAAGAAGCACCGGCUAACUCCGUGCCAGCAGCCGCGGUAAUACGGAGGGUACAAGCGUUAAUCGGAAUUACUGGGCGUAAAGCGCACGCAGGCGGUCUGUCAAGUCGGAUGUGAAAUCCCCGGGCUCAACCUGGGAACUGCAUUCGAAACUGGCAGGCUAGAGUCUUGUAGAGGGGGGUAGAAUUCCAGGUGUAGCGGUGAAAUGCGUAGAGAUCUGGAGGAAUACCGGUGGCGAAGGCGGCCCCCUGGACAAAGACUGACGCUCAGGUGCGAAAGCGUGGGGAGCAAACAGGAUUAGAUACCCGAGUAGUC
This 465-nucleotide ribosomal RNA is filed under the name uncultured Klebsiella sp. Its description in RNAcentral is "bacterial SSU rRNA". It matches the Rfam family "Bacterial small subunit ribosomal RNA", at positions 338 to 795 of the family's 1533-position model. Lineage: Bacteria; Pseudomonadati; Pseudomonadota; Gammaproteobacteria; Enterobacterales; Enterobacteriaceae. The record is from RNAcentral.